Molecule: long non-coding RNA, 1469 nt
Organism: Andrographis paniculata
Lineage: Eukaryota; Viridiplantae; Streptophyta; Magnoliopsida; Lamiales; Acanthaceae
Exons: 3
Source: RefSeq, a predicted model, not a curated record
AUGCUUUUUAUUUUGUAAUUGGUUUUCGAAUUACUGUAUUGUGUUCUAUAUCAACUUCUAAUGUUACUCGUGGAUCUAGCAUUAACGAAAGCGUUGGAUAAGAAUGGUACUAAUGAACAAAAUGAAAAACCUCUUCUUAUUGUGAUUCAGAUUUCCUGCAACCUCGUUGAACUAGGAAGAAGUAUUUGUCACUCAUUGGAGGCAGAAACAAGACAAUGUCAAGAAUAUAAAGCGAUUCAAUGUUUAGUGCUAGUUUCAGCAGAAUGUAUUCCCAAAUACACUAGCAGAUUCAUAGCAGUGUAUAGUCAGCAGGGUCUAAUGAUUAUCUCAUUGGCUCUCAAGAAUAGGGGAAAAAGGAAAAAUAUUAUAGUGUGGGAUUGGGAGUUGAAUCCUGGAUUGGCUGAAUCUUUAUAUAUCUUUAAUCUUCAUUCAUAUAUGGGUAAUUAGUGUUUUUUAGUACAUAAUGCAAGGAAAAAAACAAGAGGUUGAAGAAACGUGUUUAAGUAGUUGGCAUUUGUGUCAACUAUCUAUUUUUUGUAUAAGUCCGAGCUGGGAUUCCUGAUGCAGUUGUAACCCAUGAGAACAGUGAUGGCGCAGCUGUGAGAGAUAUCCACAUGGAAAACUUAAUGUUUCUGUCGGGGCAUGACCUUAUUGUCGAUGCUUGUGUUAAACUAUCUUUUGGAUAAUAGUUUCCAGGUUAGCUUGUAUUGUUUUACUACUGUCUAAAAAAAUACCCUCUAUUGAUUCUUUCUUUCAGGUAGUAGUCACAAAUAAGAUUUUAUUUUUCUUUUAUAUUUCAAUACACUGAAUUUUGGAAUUGAUCUUGAUUGCCGGAUAUCAAAUAAGAUAUCUUUUUUGGAACUCGCUGAACGCCUAUGUUUUUCUGUCCAGUGUUAAUAAUUAUAGUUCAACUUGUUUCCACUACCUAUGUGGUUAUGAUACAUCGAUUAAAUAAUGUGAACUAAUGCUUCUCCAGUUUUUGUUUCCGAUUGUGAAUUAUGCAUAUUACUUAUGAGGUAGUUUCUUAUAUUCACUUAGUACCAACCGGGCAUAUUUGCAUACUUGCCUUGCAGUUGUUGGCCCAAAUGGUACUGGAAAUUCAACCAUACUCAAGUUUAUUUCUGCGGAGCUUCAACCAGGCAAAGGUGAUCAUAAAAGCAGGGCUGCAUCUGCCAAGAUAACACAUUUUGCUUCUUGAUGAGCCCUGGAAUCAUCUUGUUGUCUGGGAAGGAAGGCAGGGUGAAUCCCUUCAAAGUAACAUUCUUGGAUAAUAAGAAGAUUGUACAAUCAUCAUAAAAUAAAAUAAAUACAUUAGUAUAGAACAUCAUUGUUCAAUUAGGUAGUCCUGUCCGGUGUGCUUUCUUAGUUCUUGCCCUUUUUGUAGGGUUGGGCACUUUGUGGUUGCUGCUGUACUAAUAAAUUGAUGAGAUAGUUUCUGCUCUUUUCUAUUUAUGAUGAUAUCUUCUCAA